ACAGAAAAGAAAAAAAAAACUGUAUUAAUUCAGAGGUCAGGGUUCCCUGCUUUCCUUCCCCACAAAUAAGCCCAUGCCAUUGUCUCAAAGUAAUGUGCACGAUCAGACUAACCUUGCAAACCGCUCUGCAAAGGUGAGCAGCCCGCAGAUUAAAUGCCGGUUUAUCUUGUCUAAUCAACUGCUACCACCAAGGAAUUUGCUUCAACUCAAAGGCAUCAACUACAGUCGUGGCCAAAAUGGUGGAAACCUUUUGGGAAAAGUGUGCAGUAGAAAUGCCACCUUUGGUUAAGUUUCCACCCAUUUUUCUUCUCAUUUCUUUAUAACCAUAGCCUUGUUCACUUCAUAAUGCUAUUUUACAUCGCUUUCUGGACGACCGGUCAACUCUCUGCACCGUGACUUUAAUUUUAUUAAAGCAAGCUCACUCAAUGAAAGAACACAAAAAAAAAAAAACCCAGCCAACUUGAUAGCGAUCCCAUAACACACUGACAAAUGUCCUCCUCUCAGCUUCAAUACAGGACACCAAUCACUGGAUCCUACCGUGAUCUGAUUGGCUCAUGGCCAAAACAAGAUGGCACCCGAUUGGUUCUCUAAACACUCAUCCCCAUUGGCUACAAUCAGAGGAAGGAAAGCUACCUGAGAUCCACCUACGCAAGUUGUGCUUCCCUUUUCUGGUUAUUUGGCUAUAAUAGUUUCUUGGAAGGAAGCGAGUAGGCAAUGAAGAAAUCAUCCUCUGUCCUAUGAGUUUGAACUUUGAAGCUUCACAGGGGAGCCAGUUUGGUCUAAUGGUUACAGCACCAGACUAGAAAAUGGAAGAUGGUAAGUUCCAGUCCCACCCUGGACACAAAAGUCAGCUGAAUGACUUUGAACCAGCUACUCUUUCAGGCCAACCCACCACACAGGGUUGUUCUGGUGGGGAAAACUGAAGGAAGGUGUAUUAGCCAUGUUAAAUCCAUUCACUGAAUGUAUUUAAAACAAAAGCACACAACUUUUUCUGUCCACAGAGCUUUUGGAUGACCAAAAUCUAAGAUCUGCAAUCCAAGAAAUAAAGUCUAGGACAAAAACUACUUAAAUGUGAGUCCUAUCCGGGCUUGUAUUUAAUCAGGUCACCUUUCACUUAAACAUUUUAAUUUGUUAGCCAUCUGUAUAUCUCAGAAUCCAUACAGUUGCUCCAUGACCUCUCCUGGGACAAUGGCCACAAUUCUAGCAAAAAGAGAAAUAUUUUAUAUUUCCUUUUACUUUUCUAAAUCCAGAUUAGGGGGGGCUUUAUAUAGUCUUUCAAUAAGAUCCACAUCCCAGCAAACAGGAUGUGAUAUUUACACAAGCAAAGUAGUUCGCGUCUCCAUAAACUAUUCUGCCACCGCUUAUUAAAUAUAGUUUGUGAGCAAAAGGAAGUGCCGUUCUAAACUUGGACAGACCUACUGAAUGAUAGCUCUCUUCUGGCACUUGACGAGUCCCUCCUUCCCACUCUGAUACACAUUUUGAACUGUGGACCAAACUGGCUUCCAACAGCAAUCUAGGAAAAAGAUGUCCUAGGUAACAAGAAUGAAAAGUACUGGCAGUGCUGCUGCAGCCACCUUGAACUGCAAUAAAAAUUGGCUUCUGUUCGUAAGAAUGACCUACGGAGGAUCUCUCCAGAACAGUCAAUCUGCUUCCUGAAAUUGCCAACACUUCCAGAGUAUCCAAGGCUAGUAAUUUAGUUCACUUUUUAGUAGGCUGUAAUAGCAGGCUUCAGGGCUUUCUAAAAUGGUUAAAGAUGUUGGUAUCUCCUUCCAGAUACUUAGAAAAGCAAGACUUGCUGUAAACCACGCAAGCUAAAUGCAUUUCAUGUCUUAACAGAAAAAGAAGUUGCUACGGCUGAGCUGAUAAUUUCAUUUAUUUUACAAUAUUUAUAGCCCACUCUAAUCCUAGCCAAUCUGGGCAGGGUGAAACACUGUUCAAAAUUGGGAGGGGGGGAGAGUCCACCGAGAGUCCAGCUUUUUACCCCCCUCUUGAAAAACAAAACACCAAUUCUCAAUGAGUACGGGAUCUGAGGAUAGAGUAGGUCCAAGCGACAUUUCUAUAAAUGGAAAGGGCGGGGAAAAGAGCAAGCAGAACUUAGCCUUGGAGAAGCUAAGACCGAAUGUCCAUCGUUAAUUAUUGAAUAGAAAGAACACUUUCACCACCGCAGACUGUAAAGGAUCCCCUUCUGGGAUUGUUUUCAUGAAGUUCCUGCCACUUAAGCGCUUGCAUUUGCUUAAGUGGCAGGAAUGAUAAUGUCUCUUCUGAAGAUGCAAAGAGAAAUGUUUUCUUUUCAUAAAUUCCUGAAUUUAUGUAAAUUUAAAGUCAAAGUAAAGUAAAAGAACUCCAUGAUGCAGAAUAAGAACAGUAAAAUUGCGCUCCUACCACGGACGCCAAAUACUUCCACGUAUGUUUUCACAUGUUGAUUAUACUGUAACGUACUCUUCAUUUUUUUUUUCAAUUCACCUACAGCCGUGGUUAAGAAGAGAAACGCUUCUGUGUUGUUUAAAUAAUGUUUUGGUUAUUUGUUGAGGAAAGACUUGUCAAAACAGAUAAGCUUAUUGCUACACAUAAAAACCUCUUUAGUGAUUAAAGUGAUAGUUUCCCUAUCGCUACAAGAGCCAGUUUGCUGCCUAAUAGUAUGCCAUGCGUGUCUCUGCUUUGGUACCAAAUAAAAUUAUUCUAGUAUCGCCUCGAAACAUCUGAGCUAACAAUUGCUGCAUAAUGUACACACCUACCUUCUGAAAUUGAAAUCUACAUCAAUCACAGAAAAAUAAUUAUUCAUUAAGGUUGUAUCAGGCAAGAAUACUUUUUUUUACUAAGUAGACGAUUAAAUAGAAUCCUUCCGACAGUGACUUAAAUCACUAACAUUGAGUUUUCCUGAACAGGGCUUUAAGCCAUGAUCUCAAUCAAUUUUGCUUAAAUUAAGUCUUUCUCCCAUAGGAUAAUGCCCAAAUGCCAACACGGCUAAGCUCUUCUGAAAAGCUGGCAUUGGAUGGGAUGGUUCUCCUUCUCACAAGACACCUAAUAAUGAAUUGUAAGGAAAAGAACACUUCCUGCUUGCCUUUCUGAAGAAACAGACAAGACAAAAUGUUAUCAAGGAAAAAAGAAGAAACUAACUUCCCUGCCACCCAAAAAAAGGCCAGGGGGGGAGAGAGACAGACUACAAAUAACAGAAUGACAAUCAAUGUCGUAAGGCGCUACUGAGGCCCUGAAGUCCAAUCCUUUGUUCAGGCAUGAACCACAUCAAAGCAUCCCCCACAGAUUGCUGUCCAGCCUCUGCCUAAAUAUGCCCAGCAAAGGUGGUCAACCUCUGGCUAAGUGGCAUCUUGUGUUUCUGUUUAGUUUUUUUCACCCCAGCCCAGUUUCGAGGUCUGGUACUCUGCCAGUGGGUACUGGACGGCUAGUUAAUGCCCAAAUAAUGGAACAUGGCAUUAACAUCUCUCCAUUUCUAUCCCACUAUUUGCAAUGUUUUUUCUCUUUGUAUUAUUUUAUGGUACUGUUUGUCAUAUUUAACCAUCACCCCCAUACAUAUCAUUUGAAUACAGUGGUAUUUCUAAACUGCUUACUGGCGAUUAUUAGCAUUCUGAUGGUUAGAUAACCUAAACCCUUUAAAGAUGAAGAAAAAAUAGACACACCAGUAUUAACUAUGAUUUCACAACUAAAGCUAAGCCCUCAGUUGCAAUUUAACUCAGCUGCAUAACUAGGCCCAUAUUGAUCACCUCUAUGUUAAUCAUUUAUCUGCAGGAAGUAAGAACAGCCAACUUUCUGCUCAUACAUUACAAAAAUAUCUUUCUGCAUGAUUGCCCAGGGAGAAUUACUGUUUCUUCUUGGGGUCCCGAAUACCUGUUUGCAAGCACUAUUUCUCCACCAAACAAGCCCCAACCUUUCUGAAGCAUUUACAUUGGGUGCCUUCACACAAAUAGAGUGAGCCCAUAGCAAGACUCCUUUUGGAAAAUAUCUAGGAAUUCAGGUUAUCUAAAGUGCUAGGGCAGGGGUCUUCAAACUUGGCCCUUUUAUGACUUGUGGACUUCAACUCGCAGAAUUCCUCAGCCAGGAAUUGAAGAAUUGGGAGCUCAAGUCCACAAGUCGUAAAAGGGCCAAGUUUGAAGACCCCUGUGCUAGGGAGAAGCAAUUGCCAAAAGCUCCUCAUCCUGUUGCAGCCAUUACAACGUCCUCUUAGUUGUUUCAGGAUCUGCAGACAGUAUUGGAAGGCUCUCUUCCAUUUAAGACUGAGAAUCCAAGAAAUCCACCCUGUCUAUUCCAAGCUGUUUAGUCAGAACGAGGGAACGACAUUUUUCAGCUGUUCUUCCCAGGUUUGGGGGGGUCACCUUUGCAAGAAUAUCAUAUCUGCAUAAAUCACAAUAACUUUAGACAGGCGUUUGUUUGUUUUUUUAAAGAAGGUACCUUAUUGCCCUUUUUAAAAAAUGUAACCAUACUGGUUUUCAUAAAUAUACAAAUAAAGUGAGGUUUGAAGAUUAGCUCCCCCCUUUAUUUUACUUAUGUGCUGCAGUGAUCCAAUAUCUUUGUAACUGAGUGGCAUGUAAAUUGUAUAAACAAACAGAAAAAUGAAACUUAAAAAUACAAUUCGGUUACAUCAAACCAAACUAUACAUUAAGGAAAAAGAAAAGCUUAAUGCACAAAAACAUUUAACAUAUAGUCUGUUUAAAAAAAUGGAAAAAUUAAUAGUCAGAAAAAA
Long non-coding RNA from Crotalus tigris (Tiger rattlesnake), 4696 nucleotides. RefSeq lists it as uncharacterized. The transcript has 2 exons. The record is from RefSeq and is a predicted model, not a curated record. NCBI's taxonomy places the organism in Eukaryota, Metazoa, Chordata, Lepidosauria, Squamata, Viperidae.